AGACUCCUACGGGAGGCAGCAGUAGSGAAUCUUCCGCAAUGGACGAAAAGUCUGACGGAGCAACGCCGCGUGAGUGAUGAASGUUUUCGGAUCGUAAAGCUCUGUUGUUAGGGAAGAACAAGUGCCGUUCAAAUAGGGCGGCACCUUGACGGUACCUAACCAGAAAGCCACGGCUAACUACGUGCCAGCAGCCGCGGUAAUACGUAGGUGGCAAGCGUUGUCCGGAAUUAUUGGGCGUAAAGGGCUCGCAGGCGGUUUCUUAAGUCUGAUGUGAAAGCCCCCGGCUCAACCGGGGAGGGUCAUUGGAAACUGGGGAACUUGAGUGCAGAAGAGGAGAGUGGAAUUCCACGUGUAGCGGUGAAAUGCGUAGAGAUGUGGAGGAACACCAGUGGCGAAGGCGACUCUCUGGUCUGUAACUGACGCUGAGGAGCGAAAGCGUGGGGAGCGAACAGGAUUAGAUACCCUGGUAGUCCACGCCGUAAACGAUGAGUGCUAAGUGUUAGGGGGUUUCCGCCCCUUAGUGCUGCAGCUAACGCAUUAAGCACUCCGCCUGGGGAGUACGGUCGCAAGACUGAAACUCAAAGGAAUUGACGGGGGCCCGCACAAGCGGUGGAGCAUGUGGUUUAAUUCGAAGCAACGCGAAGAACCUUACCAGGUCUUGACAUCCUCUGACAAUCCUAGAGAUAGGACGUCCCCUUCGGGGGCAGAGUGACAGGUGGUGCAUGRUUGUCGUCAGCUCGUGUCGUGAGAUGUUGGGUUAAGUCCCGCAACGAGCGCAACCCWUGAUCUUAGUUGCCAGCAUUCAGUUGGKCACUCUAASGUGACUKSCGGUGAC
Molecule: ribosomal RNA, 835 nt
Filed under: Bacillus subtilis
Lineage: Bacteria; Bacillati; Bacillota; Bacilli; Caryophanales; Bacillaceae
Description: bacterial SSU rRNA
Rfam family: Bacterial small subunit ribosomal RNA
Source: RNAcentral